Non-coding RNA from Cricetulus griseus (Chinese hamster), 5874 nucleotides. NCBI's taxonomy places the organism in Eukaryota, Metazoa, Chordata, Mammalia, Rodentia, Cricetidae. The record is from RefSeq and is a predicted model, not a curated record.
AAAAGAAGUAGCUUUAGAUUUUCAAUGUUUUUACAAAUUAAUUAUAUUGAUCUUGGAAAAUUUAAAAAAAAGAAAAUGGAAAUGAUGCUUGUACUGCUCUUCUGUCUAUGCUGAACUUCAGAAAACACAAAGAAAUGUUUGGGAACCUGUGGCAGACAUGAAUUUUUCUUCCUAGCUGUUGCUUGUCAACAAUACACAUGGUAUGAUAGAAGUCCUGGAGAGAUUAGGCAUACAAGGGACACACCUCAACACAAUAAAGACAGUUUGCAGCAAGUCCAAAGCCAACAUCAACUUAAAAAGGGAGAAACACAAAGCAAUUCCACCAAAAUCAGGAACAAGGCAAGGCUGUCCACUCUCUCUAUACCCUUUCAAUAUAAUACUUGAAGACUUAGGUAGAACAGUAAGACAACUGAAAUCAAGUUAAAUCAAGAGAAUAUAAUUUGUAAAGGAAGAAGUCAAAGUAUUGAAAUUUGCAGAAAAUUCCAACAGGAAACUCCUAUAGCUGAUAAACACUUUUAACAAAAUAGCUGGAUACAAAAUUAACUCACAAAAAGCAGAAGCCCUUCUUUAUACAAAUGACAAAAUGACUGAGAAAGAUAUCAGAGAGACAACACCUUUCAUAAUAGGCUCAAAUAAUACAAAAUACCUUGGGAUAUCUUUUACCAAGCAAAUGAAAGAUUUGUGUGAUAAAACCUCAAGUCAUUGAAGAAAGAAAUGAAAGAGAAGGUAUCAGAGGAUGUAAAAAUAACCUAUGCUCACGGAUAGAUAGGAUUAACGUAGUCAAAAUGGUCAUCCUAUCAAAAGCAAUCUACAGAUUCAAUGAAAUCUUCAUUGAAAUUCCAACACAACUCUUGGCAGUUCUUAAAAGGGGAAUCUUUAGCUUCAUAUAGAAACACAAAAGCCAGGCUAGAUAAAAUAAUCAUGAAUGAUAAAUGAACUGCUGGAGGUAUCACCAUCCCUGAUUUCAAGUUGCAUUACAGAGAUACAGUAAUAAAAACAGCAUCGUAUUGACAGAAAGCAGACACAUUGAUCAAUGGAUUGUAAUUGAAGACUGAGACAAAUAUUCACACACCAAUGGACAAUGUAUUUUUGAUAAAGAUGUUAGAAAUGCACACAGGAAAAAAGACAUCAUCUUCAACAAAUUGUUCUAGUCAAUCUGGAUGGCUGCAUGUAGAAUAAUUCAAAUAGAUCCAUACUUAACAUCUUGUACAAAACUCUCUACUCCAAAUAGAUCAAAGAUCUCAACAUAAAACCAGAUACAGUGAACCUGACCGAAGAGAAUGUUGGGAAUAUCCUCAAACUAAGUGGUGCAAGAGAAGACUUUCUGAACAGAACCCCAUUCACACAGGCACUGAGAUCCACAAUUAAUAAAUGAGACCUCAUAAGACUGAGAAACUUCUCUAAGGCAAAGGAGGACAUCAUUCAAACGAAGUGGCAGUCCACAGAUUUUUGAGAACUCCACAUUCUAUAAAAGACAAAUAUCUAAAAUAUAUAAAAGACUCAGGAAAUUAGUUAUCAAGAAAACAAAUAAUCCAAUUAAAAUGAAUUCUCAAUAGAGGGAUCUCGAAUAGCUGAGAAAUACUUAACAUGCUCAACAUCCUUAUCCAAGAGGGAAAUGCAAAUCAAAGCUACUUUGUCAUUUUAUCUUAACCUGUCAGAAUGACUAAGAUAAACAAAACAAGUGACAGCUCAUAUUGCCAAGGAUGUGGAAUAAGAGAAAUACUUGUUAUUUCUGGUUGGAGUAUAAACUUUUUAUAGCUACAAUAGAAAUAAGUGUGGCAGUUCCUCGGAAAAAUAUUAAUCAGUCUACCUAAAGACGCAGCUAUAAUACUCUUGGACAUAUACCCAAAGGAUGUUUCACCCUACCACAGAGACACUUGUGUAAACACGUUCAUCAGUGCUCUCUUCAUAAUAGUCAAAAAUUAGAAACAACUUAGAUGUCUCUAAACAGAAGAACUAAAAAAAAUAAAAUAUGGCACAUUUACACAAUGGAGUAUUAUUCAGCCAUUAAAAAUGACGUCACACCACCAAUGUCCCUGGUAAAUGUUUACACCAGAAGCCUGGUGGAUGUCCAUGGUCCAUGCUAUCACUAGACACCAUGUGAACAUCCAUGAUCCAUGCUCCUGCUGACUGUAAAGAACAAAGAAGCUUCUCCUGUAGUGCUGUUGAUGAUUGAGGACUCACUGCUGAGAAGAGAGACAUACAAGUUUUCUGUAAUGACCCCCCUGCCCCCAAAUAUAGCAACCUAGACAGGAAGCCAUCGAAGAGAACUUUUAAAAAUCAUGAUAGGAACACUGAAGUAUAGCUCUCCACAUUGAGGGCUGCUUUCAGGGGUGGGGGUGAGGCUGGCUACUGGGAGUUUGACCAAAGGACAACACAAAUUAGCCUUUUGCAAAAAGUUUUUCAGUAGUCCACAAGAAUGGGUGUGUGGAUCUAGGAGGACAGGGAUGUAAAGGUGAUUGGGUGUAUUAUAUGAAAUUCCCUAAUAAGCAAGAAAAAUAUUUUGUUAAAAAUGACACCAUGAAAUUCACAGUUUAUGAACUAGAGAAAAAAACACCCUGAGUGAGAUAACUCAGACCAAGAAAGAAAAAAGUAUGGUAUAUAUUCACUUAUAUGUGGAUACUAACUGUUAAUUCAAUUGCAACCAUUCUAUAGCCCAUAGAUUCACAGAGGGUAGGUAUAUAGUAAUAGACUAUAGGGAACAGAAAGAUCCAACGAGGAAAGGUAAGUAGAUAUUUGUGGAGGGAUAAGUGUUCUGAAAUGGGAGGUUCAUGUUGGGGAAGGAAUAUGGAGAGAGAACACUAAAACUAAGGGGUAUUUGAAGGGGUAAGUUAGAAACCUAAUACAGUAGAAACUUCCUAAAAAUUAAUACAUAUAGGAGGGCGGUCUGAAUAAAAUUGCCAAACAAUGUGGGAGACAGAGUCCCAUCUAGACAGUUCUGUCACCAAAUGAAGCUUUCAGUGCCAGGUCUGGGUUACAUCUACUUGAGUUGCUGGACAAAGGAGCCCACAGGAAUACCCAAACAACUCAGAUUAUUGCCAAGACUAUAUUAUUGCUAAAAACUGCUAUUAAAGCUCCAUUGAUGAAGACAAUAUCUACACAACUCAUGGAAAACAAAGAUGUUGAGCUGGUGCCUACAGGGAGACUUUACCUCUAUGUUCUAGUGUCUUUGAUACAGGAAGGUAUUCUGCAUUUUGUCAAAAGAGAAACAUAAGCACCAAGCCAGCUGCAAACACUUUAUUUACAAUGUUGUCCUGCCUGCAAGAUAUACUAGGGCAAUGUUGGCACAAAGCUUGUGGGAGUAACCAACCAACACCUUAUUUGACUUAAGACCCUCUUCACAAGAUGGAAUCCAUACCUGACACUAUUGGGCAACCAAGAACCAGAGAUUAGAUAGCUCAUGGACCUAGGAUAAAAUCAAAUAAUAUUGGUGUAAACAAUGUAAUGAUAAUGACUCCUAAUGAUAUUCUGUCAUACUCACAGAUGGCCUUGUUUAGCCAUCAUCAGAAAAGAUUCCUUCUGCACCAGUGGGCACAAAUACAGAGACCAACAGCCAGAGACUAUGCAGAGAGUUGGAUACUCAGCUCUAAGUGGGUUUCUUUAUCAAAUCCUGACACUCCCUCAGAGCUCACAGAGCCUGGUAAUAGAGGAGGUAGAAAGAGUAUGUGAGCCAUAUGGAGCCAAGAAAGAAGGCCUUUAAAUCAUCAUGAGCAAAGCUCACUGGAACUUAAGAGACUGAAGCAGCAUUAUGGACCUGCAAAGGUACUUUCUCAAAAAAAAAAAAGAAAGAAAGAAAAAGGAAACCACAGCUAUGUUACAUGAGGCUCAUUCCUCAAGUCUGCUGUAUUGAAAAUACCUCCCUUCCUGAACUUGAGUUCAUAUCCUCUGGCCAUCUGAUUCUUGGCUGCCUCUUGAGGGCUGGGAAGAAUACUGUGUUUUUGCUGGGCAGAGGAAAGACUCCACCAUCUGGUCCUCAGGGACCUUCUCAGAAUAUACUCUCCACUGUCUUUACUAGGGGCUUGUGUUGUUACAAGUCUGCUGUGGUUUGACUGAAACUGUAAAAUACGAUGAACAAUAUAUGUGAGAAUAAUAAAAUGGCUAAGAACCAGGGGCUGUCACCUCAUCUUGGAUUCCAUGUCUUCUUAUUCGCUGUCCAGGAGGCCUUUUCAGCACUACUGGUUGUACCCUUUGCUCAUUGCUAAAUGGUUGCUAGGCCUUGCUGUCUGAAGUGUUCUCAGCUGCAUUCCCAGGAAGCCUGAUGGAGAUGUCCUAUUUCAGUGCUGAAUUUCUAGUAGAAUACAAGGUGGACAAAGGAAACAUGGAAGCCCUUCCUGGUAGACAUCCCCGUUGGAGGAAUGCUGACUUCAUACUGCUGCCUGCUGCUUAUGUGGUUCCAUCAGUCCUCAGCCUCUCUAAAGAUGACAUUGAAGAUACUGUUAGCUUCUCCUGGCAUACCUCUGCCAUUGGCAAGAUUAAAGUUUAAAAAUGAUUAUCAGCAGUUACAUUUUGAACUUUCUGCCUCUACUCCAAUAAUCAGAAGAGGCAUUUGUGUGAGAUGUUAGCUGUGAGGUAUACCUUUCUCUCCUAUUAGGAGGGUUUGAAGGUAAGAAGAAGAAUCACCAUACAAGUUGCAUUUUGAACUGAUGCAACAAAGGAACUACACUACGACCCAAGGGGCAAAAUGGUGGGGAAAAUGGCAUAGAACCAUUUCAUCUUCUCAACCUUCUCUAUGGAAAUAUCCUCCUAUUCUUCGCAAACUGCACCAAAGCCAUGUUUCUACCUAUCAGUGGACUCUCUCUGGACUUGGCCUUGUCUGCUCUGCUAGCAGCUCACAGCUCUUCAUGACAACUGAGAGCAGCUUGGACUGCUACACAACCAUUCAAGAAGCGACACAGUUUUUCAAAACAAGGCAGUUCUAUUAAUGAGCCUUUAAAAUCUUCUAGGUUCAAGUUGUCGGUUGCUUGUUUCUGCGAACAUGAUCUUUCAGCUUCUGGACUUGGAGAUAAUCCAGUUCUCUGGUCAAAGCCUGAAAUUGUGGUGCUUUGUCAUGGUAGUCUUAGGAAAUGAUGGUCAAAAACAGAGAGAUGUAGGAGCAGAGAGAAGACAUACCUGUGUAAAUCAGAGGGUCACAGAGGUUUUGGAUCUUUUAUGUUGUGUCUCCUUUACCUUGAUGUUUUCCCUUGUCACAGGCUAACAAUGUUAAGGCUAAGGAAAAUAGAUAUAAACACUUGAAACUGGGAGCCAAAAUACACAAAGCAUGUGUCACAGCAGCAGAAAGAUGAUGAAUACAGGAGAAAGAAAGAAAUCAAUUGUAAAACUUUAAAUAAGUAAUACAUAGUAGAAUUACAGUUUAACAAUAUUUGCCAAUUAACUGUAAAAAUAUCCAGGAUGGACAGUAUGAACCUGAUAAUACAUUUUUAACUUUUGAUUUAUAUAGUAUAUACAAGAGAAGUAGAGAAAAAUAUGUUUUCCUUAGUAUUAUGUUACUUAAUGAUACAUCUAAAAAUGGAAUUGUACUUGCAGAACUUGGGGAAUGGAAUGGGAUGGCCAUCGGUAUGGAGUCUGAUGGGGACUUACUGAUGGGGACUGAGAAAGAAUGGGUUUUUCAGCAUGUAAUGAGAUAAUCUUGUGGAGCCACCAUGGGACCAAACUAGGCCCUCUGCAUGUGGGAGAUAUUUGUGAAGCUUGGGCUAUCUGAGAGGCCCCUGGCAUCAGGACCAGGAUCUACCCCUGGUGCAUAAGCUAGCUUGCUGGAGCCCAUUCCCUAUUUUCAGUCUUAACACAGGGCUGGGAGUGGAGGUUCUGUCCUGCCCCAACUUAAUAUGUCAGAGUUUUUCGACCUCUCAUGGGAGCCCUUAACUGUGGGGAGGAGUG